GUCCCCAGCCACAGAACAUCUGAAAGUGAGCAGUUUUCUCGACAUUGAGGGAUGGAACAACCCUUCACAGGACACAGCUGAGGAAAAUGGGAAAACUCAAGUCAUGUCAACCCUCAUAAGGACACUGAGGGGGCCCGUUUUCCCAGCUGUGGAUCAUGCUGGAGUACAGUAAAAAAACUUGAAAAUGAAUGAAUGAAAAUGAAUGUUACAAUGACAAUAAAGAUCAUCUGUCUAUAUCUUA
This is a long non-coding RNA of Monopterus albus (swamp eel), 241 nucleotides long. RefSeq lists it as uncharacterized. The transcript is spliced from 2 exons. NCBI's taxonomy places the organism in Eukaryota, Metazoa, Chordata, Actinopteri, Synbranchiformes, Synbranchidae. The record is from RefSeq and is a predicted model, not a curated record.